GAUGAACGCUGGCGGCGUGCCUAACACAUGCAAGUCGAACGAAACUUCUUUAUCACCUAGCGCUUGCACUCACCGAUAAAGAGUUGAGUGGCGAACGGGUGAGUAACACCUGGGCAACCUGCCCUAACGAGGGGGAUAAUACUCGGACACAGGUUCUAAUACCGCAUAACCAUCGUUACCUCAUGGUAACUAUGUAUAAGGUGUCUAUACUACCGCUCUUGGCUGGGCACGCGGCGCAUUAGCUAGUUGGUGGGGUAAAGGCUUAAGAAAGCAAGGAGGCGUAGCGGAAUUGAGAGGGUGAUCGGACAGCUUGGCAGUGAGACAGGGCCCAAACUCCGACGGGAGGCAGCAGUAGGGAAUCUUCCACGAGGGGCGAAAGCCUGAUGGAGCAACGCCGCGUGAGUGAAGAAGGUCUUCGGAUCGUAAAGCCCUGUUGUUAGAAAAGAAAGUAAGUGAGUGUAACCGUGCACGUAUUGACGGUACCUAAAGAAAAAGCCACGGCUAACUACGUG
RNAcentral lists this ribosomal RNA (512 nucleotides) under uncultured bacterium. Its description in RNAcentral is "partial 16S ribosomal RNA". It matches the Rfam family "Bacterial small subunit ribosomal RNA", at positions 28 to 507 of the family's 1533-position model. The record is from RNAcentral.